Molecule: non-coding RNA, 693 nt
Organism: Cinara cedri
Lineage: Eukaryota; Metazoa; Arthropoda; Insecta; Hemiptera; Aphididae
Source: the annotation of a GenBank genome assembly
AACUGAACCGUCAUUUCGGUAUAUUUCGCCCGAUCUGCGUUUCCGUGUCCACGUGCACCGUACACAUCUGUGUUUUGUAUUGUAUAAGCGCGUUCGUGUGUGCUGCCCCUCUUCAAGGCGAUAGCCUCUGGAUGGCCUCUCGUUAGCGGACGGCACCGCACGCGAAUUUCGGGGCGCCCGAAAACGAUCCGCGCGUACUGUAAGUGUUUUACGGGAACAACACCCUCGCGUUUCUAUACAUAUAUAUUAUAUUAUUUUUCCGCUCGUUUUGUACGUAGCAACGAACGCCUAAGGGGGGAAAAACCGAGCCCCCCUUCCCCCUUAGCCCCCUACGCGUACUCAGUGCCGUUCGUUUAUAAAUGUGACCGUCGCGUCGAAAAAGUCGAAACUUUUGCCGGCGACGCCGACGACGCGUCUGCGGCAGCGAUCGCCGUCCACAAUGAUCCGGUGCCGACUGCAAGUGCUGUGGACGCUUUAUCUGAUCGUCUAUAACGGUAAGGUGUAUUUUUAUUUAUUUAUUUUUUUUUUUUAAUGCUUAUAUACUCAAAAGUCACGGGGGUCGGUUCGUAUACGUGAUUAAAGCCAGACGGCCCGGAUUAAGGUUGUGGGGGCCCGGGGACCCGUAUUAGUAAUGAGGCGACCUAUACUCUAUUAAAACGGAACAAAAAGGUUCUCAAAUAUUUGAUUCGACUC